GGAUCACCUCCUUUCUAAGGAUGGUUCUUCAGAAGCUUGCUUCUAUCGAACCGUUUUAGAAACAUCAGUGGCCAACGAUCGUCAGGAUUGUUGAGCUGCAUUGGCGGGAUUUCGCCGUCUUCGUUUCUCUUUCUUCGCGGACGAACACGCGCUGGGCCUGCGAGAGCAGGGUCCCUGGUCCUUGACGGGAUAUGCGUUAGGGGCUUGUAGCUCAGUUGGUUAGAGCGCGCGCUUGAUAAGCGUGAGGUCGGAAGUUCAAGUCUUCCCAGGCCCACCACACUCAUCGGGUAAGCAUUCGUCUUCUGGUUACGGGGCCAUAGCUCAGCUGGGAGAGCGCGUGCUUUGCAAGCAUGAGGUCGUCGGUUCGAUCCCGUCUGGCUCCACCAGAUGGUUUGAUCACCGAGGCUGUGUUUGCAGGUAUUCAACCGUCGUCCGCGAAACAUCACUUCGCACCUGCUAGUCUGGAUAGACAGUGAGGUUGCGUGAUUUCUGACAUCGUAAAGAGGAGAUCGAUCCGAGUUGGAUCGGGCAGCAAGCAAUUGCUGCGCGAACCUUCAUUAUCUCCGGAUCAUUUCGGCGCUCGCGCGCCUUUCAAUGCGGCUCACAAGGCUGCGUCUGAAGGGAAUGCGGGUUGUAAAUGAUCCUUUUAGCGAAGCUUGACCGCCUCGCUAUCGGAACGAUCUUACGAAGCAAGCUGGUCUUUCUAAUCAUUGUCCGGCUGUACGUAGCGUUCAUCGAGGGCGCGUGCCGUAAGGCAAUCGUACAGACACAUUCUGCCGAGUGUGUGGACAUUGAUAAUGAGAGCAAUCAAGUGCCUUAAGGGUGUUCGGUGGAUGCCUUGGCGCUGAGAGGCG
This 854-nucleotide transfer RNA is filed under the name Bradyrhizobium japonicum. RNAcentral describes it as "partial contains 16S-23S ribosomal RNA intergenic spacer, and 23S ribosomal RNA". The stretch from base 201 to 274 matches the Rfam family "tRNA". Lineage: Bacteria; Pseudomonadati; Pseudomonadota; Alphaproteobacteria; Hyphomicrobiales; Nitrobacteraceae. The record is from RNAcentral.